Molecule: ribosomal RNA, 433 nt
Filed under: uncultured eukaryote
Lineage: Eukaryota
Description: bacterial SSU rRNA
Rfam family: Eukaryotic small subunit ribosomal RNA
Source: RNAcentral
CAAUAGCGUAUAUUAAAGUUGUUGCAGUUAAAAGCUCGUAGUCGGAUUUCGGGUCGGGCCGAGCGGUCUGCCGAUGGGUAUGCACUGUUUGGCGCGGCCUUCUUUCCGGAGACCGCGGCUACUCUUAACUGAGCGGGCGUGGGAGACGGAUCGUUUACUUUGAAAAAUCAGAGUGUUUCUAGCAGGCAGCUCGCUCUUGCAUAGGUUAGCAUGGGAUAAUUUAAUAGGACUCUGGUGCUAUUUUGUUGGUUUCGAACACCGGAGUAAUGAUUAAUAGGGGAUAGUUGGGGGCGAUUCGUAUUUAACUUGUCAGAGGUGGAAAUUACUUGGAUUUGUUUAAAGAACGGACUACUGCGAAAGACAUUUGUCCAAGGAAUGUUUUCUAUGUAUCAAGAACGAAAGUUAAGGGGAGUCGAAGACGAUCAGAUACCAU